AAUAAUUGGUAGUUGGAACCUCUAGUGGCGAAGGUGCGGCGGCGCGACGCGGCCUCGGCCUACUCGGGCGGCGGCGGCGGAGGGAGCAGGACGUCCACGUGCACGCUGCGGGCCCCCCGUGGUGCAUCCACUCCAUCCGUGCCCUCGUGGCUGCCAGCAGAAUACCAGCUCAGGUGACACGAAACAGAUGAUGAGCUUUCCAUGUAAUAUGAAAGAACCAAUGGAAUUUCAACCACCUCCCUAGAACCAAGUCUCAAUCUUGGAAACUGGAUUAUAUUAUGAAAGCUGAGGGCUAGAUGACUGAGGAAGCCUCCUUGAUACGUCUGCUUUUGACAAUGGACAUCGUCAAGAAUUACCAAAAUCGGUCCACAUCAGUGUUGGUUUUCAAUGCGAGUUGAGAAAUGUUUGAUUACUUUGCAAAGGAGGGACAGGAGGAGCAGUAUGGCUGAUAUACUGUGCUUUGAAUGAGCGCAUGUGAUGAGGCCUCCAGUGGCAGAAGUGAGUUGACCAAUUUAAGGAAAACGGGAUAUCAGAAAUGUCUGGACUUGCUUAGCUAGGAGCUACGGAUCCAGCUUGAGCGAAUGGACUGUAGCUUUAGAUGGCAGUGAAGUACAAAAAAAUUAUCCAGAUGCUGUCCAGAACUUCAAUCAACCUGGGGAGUUGCAUGAGCCCAGCAAGUUGCAUCAUGGCAGCCACGCCAGGGCUGAUCACCCUCAAGAGAGCCUACUGGUGCCAUGGCCUGCACAUGAUGAAUAAGGCUUGCUACAGAGUCAGUGUCUGGAAUAAAAGCUGCAUAAAGUUCUUCAGAAUUUCCUCAAGAGAGCCUACUGGUGCCAUGGCCUGGACAUGAUGAAUAAGGCUUGCUACAGAGUCAGUGUCUGGAAUAAAAGCUGCAUAAAGUUCUUCAGAAUUUCCUCAAGAGAGCCUACCGGUGCCAUGGCCUGCACAUGAUGAAUAAGGCUUGCUACAGAGUCAGUGUCUGGAAUUAAAGCUGCAGAAUAAAAGCUGCAUCAAGUUCUUCAAAAUUUCCAAGCUCAAGCAUAAGAGCCCGUGGAUGGAACUCAAAGCAGUGGUGAACAAAAGCUCAAGCAUAAGAGCCCGUGGAUGGAACUUGAAGCAGUGGUGAACAAAAGCUAGAUGGUUGCGCUGGGCAAUGCUGGACAGCAACUACUCAAGAGGUUGCAGGAAGAUGUGUCAAACAACGGAGGUGGUUGUGUGCUGUAAGGAAUGAUUCUUCACCUUGAGGUUGUGGUUCAGAGAACAGGGCAGGUAUGUAUUUCUGCAAGAGGUUCAUUGUAAUUUGAAAGGUCUAGUAUUAUUUAAAAUUUAGUCAAGACCUGUGAAGAUAAAUUCCAUUGAAUUUUUUUUUUUUUUCCCAUAAUGAAUGCUAUUUUUUAGUUUCAUAACUUUUUUGUGAAAGUGAAAAAGUAGGUAGGAAUUAUAAAAAACUGAAAUUUGUUGUAUUGUGUAAUGUAUAUUUAUUUAAAUAAAACCCUGAAUUUUC
This is a long non-coding RNA of Eriocheir sinensis (Chinese mitten crab), 1504 nucleotides long. RefSeq lists it as uncharacterized. The transcript is spliced from 18 exons. The record is from RefSeq and is a predicted model, not a curated record. NCBI's taxonomy places the organism in Eukaryota, Metazoa, Arthropoda, Malacostraca, Decapoda, Varunidae.